GCCAGCAUGGUGUAGUGGUUUGAAUGUUGGACUAUGACUCUGGAGAUCAGGGUUCAAUUCCCCAUUCAAGCA
RNAcentral lists this transfer RNA (72 nucleotides) under Phrynosoma platyrhinos (Desert horned lizard). RNAcentral's name for it is "tRNA-OTHER". Lineage: Eukaryota; Metazoa; Chordata; Lepidosauria; Squamata; Phrynosomatidae. The record is from RNAcentral.